AGCAGUCAUUUUUGUACAGGGCGUUGUGUGCUGGAUGCUGAGACACACAGUGCACAGCUGUGCUGACCUUCUGCAGGCUUUCGGCACAGUGGCAGAAGCAGGCACGGCACAAACAAACACUCUGAUGGCUAUUUAGUGUCUGUUCUAUGACGUGCUGUCCCAGCAAGCUCUUCUAUGAUUCUUCCAGAAGUGAAGAAGAUACACUAAUUAUGAAGAUCACGCUGCCUCAAGGAUUAUGGGAGCUUAUUCUGAGACUGGAUCAAAAGAGUGUGCCAUCUACAUGUGUACCCUUGACGUGAGAUCAGCCAUCCUUACUGGAAAAGGUCAUCCUUGUCAGCCACAUGCACAGCUUCAGCAGGAAUACACCAAGAGUGGGGAGGAAAGAAGGGGACACCUGCCUAGCCAGCCAGAUCAACUAGAUCGACCCUGGUGCUAAAUGAGGUAACAGACGUCACAGCCAGAACAUCCCCACAACCCUCCAAGUUUACGAGAUGUCCGAGGAUCAUUGUUCUUCAUAAUUUAUGGAUGUCUCUGGAUUACAGGACCUACCCGUGACACCUGCCCCAGAGCUGCAUUUCUGAGAAUGGAAAAGAAACCAACAAUUGUCACGGAGAAGAACAGUCCAAGUCUAUGUGUUUCCAAAGAUACAUUGUUCUCAGAUAAACACAAGCAUACAUAAAUAAAAAGAUGUUUUAAACUUUUUGAAAGAGCUUUUCCUGAAGAUGCAGAGACCUGGAGAGGAGUCUUUGUCAUAGCAUCGCUUGUUGCUGUCUUCCCAGGAUUUCCUGCAUUGGAAAACGAGAUGUUUAUUAUCUCAGGAAUCUCAGAGUCCCAGGAGACUGUGACUCCUGAGUCAGCGUGAGCUGCUGAUAGUAGAAGGUGCAAGCAAGAGAAACGUGUUCUCACCGUCUGGAAGAUGGGAGUCCAAGGUCAAGAUGCCAGGAUGAGCAGUUUCCCAAGAACACCUCCCCCGCCCCCUGCUUGUAGAUAGCUGCCUUACCUCUUGGUCCUCACAGUGAGGCUUCUAAGGAGACAAGAAUGGGAUGCUUGUUUUCAUGGACUAGAAAUGAAUCACGCCUGUUCUUUCAGAAUUAUAGGCUCAGGAAAGAAGUGACAGGAAGAAAAUGUUCUGUGGUGGAGACUUCCGAGUGGAGAGCUGGCUUCAGAAAAGAUGGGUUGAGCAUAGCGGGGUUCCUGACAGACAACAGACCUGCCAGGAUCAUUUGUACCGGGACACUGUUUCCAAACUAUUUCUUUAGUGCUCUGUCCCAUUCUAGGGUCUUCAGAAAAGGCUAAUGGCCAAAGAGAAGGAAGGAAGGACAGCACCAUAUUUAUCUCCAUGAGGGGUUUCUGAAGUCUCUCAGGGCUGCAGGCAGGAGCUCCAAAGGUAAAGCCGUCAAUUUCCAUGGAGAUGGAAUGUAUUACUCAGAGAAAAGAGGUACCAAAUAUUAUUCAGUUUGG
Long non-coding RNA from Arvicola amphibius (Eurasian water vole), 1461 nucleotides. RefSeq lists it as uncharacterized. NCBI's taxonomy places the organism in Eukaryota, Metazoa, Chordata, Mammalia, Rodentia, Cricetidae. The record is from RefSeq and is a predicted model, not a curated record. The transcript is spliced from 6 exons.